UAACCUGCCCAAGAGAUCGGGAUAACACCUGGAAACAGAUGCUAAUACCGGAUAACAACAGAUGAUGCCUAUCAACUGUUUAAAAGAUGGUUCUGCUAUCACUCUUGGAUGGACCUGCGGUGCAUUAGCUAGUUGGUAGGGUAACGGCCUACCAAGGCGAUGAUGCAUAGCCGAGUUGAGAGACUGAUCGGCAACAUUGGGACUGAGACACGGCCCAAACUCCUACGGGAGGCAGCAGAC
RNAcentral lists this ribosomal RNA (240 nucleotides) under uncultured Lactobacillus sp. RNAcentral's name for it is "partial 16S ribosomal RNA". It matches the Rfam family "Bacterial small subunit ribosomal RNA", at positions 122 to 354 of the family's 1533-position model. Lineage: Bacteria; Bacillati; Bacillota; Bacilli; Lactobacillales; Lactobacillaceae. The record is from RNAcentral.